Molecule: ribosomal RNA, 508 nt
Filed under: uncultured bacterium
Lineage: Bacteria
Description: partial 16S ribosomal RNA
Rfam family: Bacterial small subunit ribosomal RNA
Source: RNAcentral
AUUGAACGCUGGCGGCAUGCCUUACACAUGCAAGUCGAACGGCAGCGGGGGAGAAGCUUGCUUUUCCUGCCGGCGAGUGGCGAACGGGUGAGUAAUACAUCGGAACGUGCCCUGUAGUGGGGGAUAACUAGUCGAAAGAUUAGCUAAUACCGCAUACGACCUGAGGGUGAAAGUGGGGGACCGCAAGGCCUCAUGCUAUAGGAGCGGCCGAUGUCUGAUUAGCUAGUUGGUGGGGUAAAGGCCUACCAAGGCGACGAUCAGUAGCUAGUCUGAGAGGACGAUCAGCCACACUGGGACUGAGACACGGUCCAGACUCCUACGGGAGGCAGCAGUGGGGAAUUUUGGACAAUGGGCGAAAGCCUGAUCCAGCAAUGCCGCGUGUGUGAAGAAGGCCUUCGGGUUGUAAAGCACUUUUGUCCGGAAAGAAAUGGCUCUGGUUAAUACCUGGGGUCGAUGACGGUACCGGAAGAAUAAGGACCGGCUAACUACGUGCCAGCCGCCGCAGUAA